This 433-nucleotide ribosomal RNA is filed under the name uncultured bacterium. RNAcentral's name for it is "partial 16S ribosomal RNA". It matches the Rfam family "Bacterial small subunit ribosomal RNA", at positions 29 to 507 of the family's 1533-position model. The record is from RNAcentral.
AGCGAACGCUGGCGGCAGGCCUAACACAUGCAAGUCGAGCGGAUCCUUCGGGAUUAGUGGCGGACGGGUGAGUAACACGUGGGAACGUGCCCUUUGGUUCGGAACAACUCAGGGAAACUUGAGCUAAUACCGGAUGUGCCCUUCGGGGGAAAGAUUUAUCGCCAUUGGAGCGGCCCGCGUCUGAUUAGCUAGUUGGUGAGGUAACGGCCCACCAAGGCGACGAUCAGUAGCUGGCCUGAGAGGAUGAUCAGCCACACUGGGACUGAGACACGGCCCAGACUCCUACGGGAGGCAGCAGUGGGGAAUCUUGCGCAAUGGGCGAAAGCCUGACGCAGCCAUGCCGCGUGAAUGAUGAAGGUCUUAGGAUUGUAAAAUUCUUUCAGCGGGGACGAUAAUGACGGUACCCGCAGAAGAAGCUCCGGCUAACUUCGUG